Molecule: ribosomal RNA, 226 nt
Filed under: uncultured bacterium
Lineage: Bacteria
Description: partial 16S ribosomal RNA
Rfam family: Bacterial small subunit ribosomal RNA
Source: RNAcentral
CGUAACACGUAUGUAACCUACCCUUAUCAGGGGGGAUAGCCUCUCGAAAGAGAGAUUAAGCCCGCAUAAAAUCACAGGGCAGCAUUGUCUAAUGAUCAAAUAUUUAUAGGAUAAGGAUGGGCAUGCGGAACAUUAGCUAGUUGGUAAGGUAACGGCUUACCAAGGCUACGAUGUUUAGGGGAUCUGAGAGGAUGACCCCCCACACUGGUACUGAGACACGGACCAG